Long non-coding RNA from Hordeum vulgare subsp. vulgare (domesticated barley), 1110 nucleotides. RefSeq lists it as uncharacterized. The record is from RefSeq and is a predicted model, not a curated record. Lineage: Eukaryota; Viridiplantae; Streptophyta; Magnoliopsida; Poales; Poaceae. The transcript has 2 exons.
CGGUCUUAUUAUAUAACUCGUAUACUUGAUUACAAGGAUAGAUGGAACUCAAAAAAAUUCUAAGCAAAGAAAAUCUGUAAUUUAUAUCUCUAAUUCAUGAAGGGAUAAUUAAUUCCAUGACCUUAGUUGUGUCACACUCGACAGGUUUGCCCCUAGUUUUGGAAAACCCUCAGUUUUCUCCAAAUCUGUUUGCUCCUCUUAUGGUUUUUCCCUUCCGUCACGUUUCCGUCCGGUGAGUGCCGCUUAACCGUGUGUUGACCGUGUGCGUAAUUUUCGCUCGACCAUUUUACCCAUGCCUCUUCAAUCUCUUGAGAUACAAUGCCAAUUGGGAGCAACCACUCUCCUUGCUCCCUUCUGUUUCUCUCCCAUAGGUCAAAUCCUAACCUGGAUCCCUCCCUCCUCUCUCUAAAAUCUCACGGGCUCUAGAUCCUAUCCAUGGCCCGUGAAGGGAGGCCAGCAGAGGUCCCGUUGGUGGUGGAGCCCUAGAACAUCGUCGGGGUUGGGCUCGAGCACAUCCAGGAGGAAAUCCGCCCCGAUCCACCACGUCUCCGUGCCCAAGGAGCAGGGAGCAACGCCAAGUUCGGUGGGGAGAGAUGGUGGAGCCAAGAUCUCGUCGGUAGGGAGAGACGGUGGAGGACGAUGGUGCAGCAGCGGCCGGUCAAUGGUGGAGCCAUAGAUCUCGUUGAUGGGGAGAGAUGGUGGAGGACGGUGACGUAGCUGCGGCCGAUCAAUGGCGGAGCCAUAGAUCUCGUCGGUGAGGAGAGAUGGUAGAGGACGGUGGCGCAAAAGCAAUAGCCUCCCUCGGGCCUCCUUCCACAUUGCAGGGUGGUGGCCAAGCGUCUGUCACGGGGACGCACGUGAGAGGAUGAUUUGUUGAGCGCUAGCGCGCCCGUGGUGGCCAAUCCGUUUGGCUCCGGCGAUCUCAUCAUCGUCCUACAUAGGGCGGCCUUUAAAUCAUUGAGUUGUAGUUUUUUUAAUACUUGACACAAUGUAAUUAGCUAGUAUAGCUAGCAACUAUGGAUUGUGUUAAUUAUCCAGUGUUUUAAUUAGUUCAUGAAGUGUUAACUAUUGCACAAAAAGUAAUGAAAAUUUUAUGUUAUGUUUACAAUA